GGUUUAGACUAUGUUGUCUAUAUCCCCUGGAUCCUCUAUGGAGGAGGAAAUAAAUGGUUUCACCAAAAGAUAUGAAAUGUCGCCAAAUUCUGCACCGGAGUGUAAGCGACUUGUGGUGUGUUUAUGUAUUUUCGAAGGGAAAAACGUGCGAGAUUCCACUGGAAAGUUGCUGGUGUUUUGAUUUAUCAUGAAGAAAACGGGUAUGCGAAACAAAGGCUGCGAGCCAAACGGCAACGCUGGAUGCUUCAGUUGUAUGUAUGCCAUAAGCAGUUGACCGAUAUAACUGGCCUCAAGUACCAUAAGACAUGAGGCAGCAUGUGUCCCUGGAGGAGAUACAGCGGGCAACCAGCAGCAGGCAAGAGAGGGCCACCCCCAAGGAGCACCGCGGCGCAGCUGAGGAGCAAAGGGGUUUUCCUAGUGCUGUGCACAUGCGACACUGCUUUCAUUGUUUUUAGCGGAGCACAACUUGCCGUUCAGUUAAUAUAUACUCCAAAUUAAAGUGCUGUGCAAUUCACUAAUAGUAUUUUUUUUUUUUUUUUUUUUUUUUGUAUACAUUGGAGAAAUUUGAUAUUUCAAAUGCGUUUACCAUAAAAAUAUUUUUGGUACAUACUGAUUAUUCUGUUUAAAUGUUUAUUUUUUCCAUCUUUUCAGUCUUUGCGAUGACCUGGAGCUGAACGGAAAAUGUUCCCUGAUUCGAACCAUCGCA
Non-coding RNA from Penaeus vannamei (Pacific white shrimp), 706 nucleotides. The record is from RefSeq and is a predicted model, not a curated record. NCBI's taxonomy places the organism in Eukaryota, Metazoa, Arthropoda, Malacostraca, Decapoda, Penaeidae.